GAUGAACGCUGGCGGCGUGCCUAAUACAUGCAAGUCGAGCGAACGGACGAGAAGCUUGCUUCUCUGAUGUUAGCGGCGGACGGGUGAGUAACACGUGGAUAACCUACCUAUAAGACUGGGAUAACUUCGGGAAACCGGAGCUAAUACCGGAUGAUAUUUUGAACCGCAUGGUUCAAAAGUGAAAGACGGUCUUGCUGUCACUUAUAGAUGGAUCCGCGCUGCAUUAGCUAGUUGGUAAGGUAAUGGCUUACCAAGGCAACGAUGCAUAGCCGACCUGAGAGGGUGAUCGGCCACACUGGAACUAAGACACGGUCCAGACUCCUACGGGAGGCAGCAGUAGGGAAUCUUCCGCAAUGGGCGAAAGCCUGACGGAGCAACGCCGCGUGAGUGAUGAAGGUCUUCGGAUCGUAAAACUCUGUUAUUAGGGAAGAACAUAUGUGUAAGUAACUGUGCACAUCUUGACGGUACCUAAUCAGAAAGCCACGGCUAACUACGUG
This 497-nucleotide ribosomal RNA is filed under the name uncultured bacterium. Its description in RNAcentral is "partial 16S ribosomal RNA". It matches the Rfam family "Bacterial small subunit ribosomal RNA", at positions 28 to 507 of the family's 1533-position model. The record is from RNAcentral.